Molecule: transfer RNA, 85 nt
Filed under: Actinomycetota bacterium
Lineage: Bacteria; Bacillati; Actinomycetota
Description: Actinobacteria bacterium tRNA-Leu
Rfam family: tRNA
About the family: Transfer RNA (tRNA) molecules are approximately 80 nucleotides in length. Their secondary structure includes four short double-helical elements and three loops (D, anti-codon, and T loops). Further hydrogen bonds mediate the characteristic L-shaped molecular structure. tRNAs have two regions of fundamental functional importance: the anti-codon, which is responsible for specific mRNA codon recognition, and the 3' end, to which the tRNAs corresponding amino acid is attached (by aminoacyl-tRNA synthetases). tRNAs cope with the degeneracy of the genetic code in two manners: having more than one tRNA (with a specific anti-codon) for a particular amino acid; and 'wobble' base-pairing, i.e. permitting non-standard base-pairing at the 3rd anti-codon position.
Source: RNAcentral
GCGGCGGUGCUGGAACUGGUAGACAACGCGGACUCAAAAUCCGUGGGGGCUUUGCCCCGUGUGGGUUCGAAUCCCACCCGCCGCA